RNAcentral lists this ribosomal RNA (253 nucleotides) under uncultured bacterium. Its description in RNAcentral is "partial 16S ribosomal RNA". It matches the Rfam family "Bacterial small subunit ribosomal RNA", at positions 524 to 776 of the family's 1533-position model. The record is from RNAcentral.
UACGAAGGAUUCGAGCGUUAUCCGGAUUUAUUGGGUUUAAAGGGUGCGUAGGUGGAUUAGUAAGUCAGUGGUGAAAGCCCGCAGCUAAACUGCGGAACUGCCAUUGAUACUGUUAAUCUUGAGUACAGUUGAGGUGGGCGGAAUGUGUCAUGUAGCGGUGAAAUGCUUAGAUAUGACACAGAACACCGAUUGCGAAGGCAGCUCACUAAGCUGUAACUGACACUGAUGCACGAAAGCGUGGGGAGCAAACAGG